CGCUAGCCUCCCAAGAAAGCUCCUCACCCCAGCAUAGUGCAGGGAAGGGGCUGACUCCUGAAACUGUACUUAUUUGGCUAAAGCUCCGCAUAUAAAGGGCAUUGAGGGAACUGAACGUUGCGGUAGUAGUCAUCUCUGGAGAACAGGGCCAAGGGCACUGGCCAAGGGCAGACUGACUCUGCUGGAAAUCACCUCUCUACAGGAAGCUCUCAGUUCUGUUGAUCCCCAGGCUGAAAGCCUUCCACAAAACACUCAGAUGUGCACAUGUGGAGGAGGACCUGCAGACCUUGCUUCUCUGUCUACCACGUGGGUUCUAGGAAUCCAACUCAGGUCAACAGGAUUGGCAGGUAGGAGCCCUUACACACUGAACCAUCUUGCUGGCUCAAGAAAAUCUUAAGACUAAACCAACCAGCCAACAAAAACCAAUAAGUAAUUUACUCCAGUUUAUCAUAGGCUUUUGAAAAAUAUCUACUAUAAGAUUGAUUUGCUGAAAUGUCGCGAUCAAUUUUUAUUUCAUUUAUUGAACCUCUUCAAUUUGAACUUCUGUAGUACUUGCCAGAUGUCUUCUCAGGCCCAAA
Molecule: long non-coding RNA, 578 nt
Organism: Mus musculus (house mouse)
Lineage: Eukaryota; Metazoa; Chordata; Mammalia; Rodentia; Muridae
Product: predicted gene, 39704
Exons: 2
Source: RefSeq, a predicted model, not a curated record